Molecule: long non-coding RNA, 1659 nt
Organism: Macrosteles quadrilineatus (aster leafhopper)
Lineage: Eukaryota; Metazoa; Arthropoda; Insecta; Hemiptera; Cicadellidae
Exons: 3
Source: RefSeq, a predicted model, not a curated record
AGUUACUUUAUUAUUGUUUAUUGUUGGUGAGUUUAAUUAAGAGAGUUAAUUGGCAGAUUCACAUUAAUGUGUAGUGUCAGUGUCAUCUGUCAUGUCAGUUCAGAGUCCAAGAAGAAAGACUAGACUGCACAGAUCAUAAUUUCGAUUCCUUAGCAUUUGUAUUUUCGUGAUCAAACUUAACUUAGUUCAAUUUAAUAUGACAUUUGGAUCCAGCCUAGGGUAGACGCCAGGCGGUAGUGUUGAUUGUAUGUGUAUGAUUAAUUUCGUGAUGAAGAUCAAGGUUAGCAUUGAUUUAAGUAAAAUAAAUAUCAGUGAUUUAAAAAAGAAGCGAACAAUUAAAGAAGAAAGAAUAAAACAUCUGAACAUUUUUAAAAAAAUUUAUAAAUCUUCAGAUGAACACUUCAAGAAAGUUCAGAAAUCUGUGUACUUAAUAGUCCAAGCUGUGGACUUAACAGUCCAAGGGGAUGACGAUUCCAGCAUAUAUCUGGAACAAUAUCGAAAAGGAAAACUUGCCCUGAAACAACAUCGAAAAGAAAAACUUGCCAAGUUUCAAGAUGAAUAUGAACCCAUCAUUGAUUUUUAUCCCCCAACACCUUCAGUAUCACAGUGUGUAGAGCAGAUGUCUCUACAUCUUCAUCUACUGAUGCAGGAUUACGACUAUCAUGACAAAAUGAAAAAACUGCGUCAGAUAGAAACAGACCCUACCAGUAAAAUUGUAGCUGAUAGAAAAUACAAAGAAGUAAAAAAAAUGUUUCUGGAAUCAACAAAAAAAUUGGGCUCAGAUUUUGUUUCUCAGUUUAAAAAAAUAUUUAAGCAAUUUAAUAAGAAAAAUGUUAUUAUGAUGAUUUUUGUUGAAGUAGUUAAAAGCCAGAUGAAACGACAAAACAUAGAAUUAAAAGGACCGAGUAGUAAGCAAAUUUCUCUUUACAAAUAUUUAGUUCAUGGAAUGUUUACCAGAAACAAUUGUAAAGAUUUUGACUGUUUUUUUGAAUCGCCUGAGUUUGAGGAACUAUUUAACAAAGCCUACAGCCUUAGCUUGGCCAGGAAUUUGGAAAGUCCAAAUCAUCUAAAUACACCUUAAAACUUUUCCUGGAACCCCAUCUACAUCCGAAUCACACAGUAAAAACAAGCUAGUUUACAUGGAUUCAAUCCAGUUGAAGAGUUUGCCUACUUGCUAAAGAAGUUCCCAAAUAUAUAAAUGGAUCAUGUAUGAAAUAAGAUGAAUACAGGUAAAUAAUAGCAAUGAUCACAAGUGUUAAAAGGUGAUGAACAAUUUUGUGCAUUAUGUAGGUUAUUUAUGUAGGUUAAUUGCAUUACUUUAUAGUAAUUUUCACUGCUGCAUGACAUAAUAAACCAGUGGUCCCAAAUGACCAAUUUUUAUGGAAAGAGUGUACAAAAGUAUGGUUGCUAUCUCAUUCCAUAAAAUAAUUGAUUUGUUCUUAAAGACAUUUAGCUGUUUUAGACUGAUUACCUGCAAAGUAUCUGUAAUAAGAUUGGUUUUCAAUACUUUUUUCAAUGUAAUUAACUGUUACAAUGUAGACAGGGUUCACAGUAUAUUUACAUCACAUUGAUUGUAAUUUUUUUAUUUUAGUCUAUGUUUUAUAUUAUUUGUUAUGUAUCUAGGUUUUAUUUGUAUUUAAAGAAUUUAAUUUAAAUGGA